This 403-nucleotide ribosomal RNA is filed under the name Nematoda environmental sample. Its description in RNAcentral is "SSU rRNA". It matches the Rfam family "Eukaryotic small subunit ribosomal RNA", at positions 29 to 436 of the family's 1831-position model. The record is from RNAcentral. Lineage: Eukaryota; Metazoa; Nematoda.
UGCUUGUCUCAAAGAUUAAGCCAUGCAUGUCCAAGCAUAAACCGAAUAUGGUAAAGCCGCGAAUGGCUCAUUACAACAGCCAUAGUUUAUUGGAUCUUAGAGUCCUACUUGGAUACCUGUGGUAAUUCUAGAGCUCAUACACGCAAUCAAGCCUCAACCUUACGGGAGGGGCGCAUUUAUUAGAACAAAACCAAUUGGCUUCGGCCAUAGAUUGGUGAAUCUGAAUAACUACGCUGAUCGCACGGGCUUGUCCCGGCGACGUAUCCUUCAAGUGUCUGCCUUAUCAACUUUCGAUGGUAGUUUAUAUGACGACCAUGGUUGUAACGGGUAACGGAGAAUAAGGGUUCGACUCCGGAGAGGGAGCCUGAGAAACGGCUACCACAUCCRAGGAAGGCAGCAGGCA